RNAcentral lists this ribosomal RNA (465 nucleotides) under uncultured bacterium. Its description in RNAcentral is "partial 16S ribosomal RNA". It matches the Rfam family "Bacterial small subunit ribosomal RNA", at positions 28 to 507 of the family's 1533-position model. The record is from RNAcentral.
GACGAACGCUGGCGGCGUGCUUAACACAUGCAAGUCGAACGGUAAGGCCCCUUCGGGGGUACACGAGUGGCGCACGGGUGAGUAACACGUGUGCAACCUUCCCUUGACUCUGGAAUAACAGUUGGAAACAGCUGCUAAUACUGGAUAUUCAUCGUCUCCUUCCUGGGGGGUGGUGGAAGGCCCCGGCGGUCCGGGUUGGGCUCGCGGCCUAUCAGCUUGUUGGUGAGGUAAUGGCUCACAAAGGCUUCGACGGUUAGCCGGCCUGAGAGGGGGACCGGCCACACUGGGACUGAGAUACGGCCCAGACGCCUACGGGAGGCAGCAGUGGGGAAUAUUGCACAAUGGGCGCAAGCCUGAUGCAGCAGCGCCGCGUGCGGGAUGACGGCCUUCGGGUUGUAAACCGCUUUCAGUAGAGACGAAGGUUGACUGACGUUACCUACAGAAGAAGGACCGGCUAACUACGUG